Molecule: ribosomal RNA, 253 nt
Filed under: uncultured bacterium
Lineage: Bacteria
Description: partial 16S ribosomal RNA
Rfam family: Bacterial small subunit ribosomal RNA
Source: RNAcentral
UACGGAGGGUGCAAGCGUUAAUCGGAAUUACUGGGCGUAAAGCGCGCGUAGGCGGUUAAUUAAGUCGGGUGUGAAAGCCCCGGGCUCAACCCGGGAACUGCAUCCGAAACUGGUUAACUAGAAUAUGGUAGAGGGAAGUGGAAUUCCACAUGUAGCGGUGAAAUGCAUAGAGAUGUGGAGGAACACCAAUGGCGAAGGCAACUUCCUGGACCAAUAUUGACGCUGAGGUGCGAAAGCGUGGGGAGCGAACAGG